Molecule: small RNA, 78 nt
Filed under: Flavobacterium sp. TAB 87
Lineage: Bacteria; Pseudomonadati; Bacteroidota; Flavobacteriia; Flavobacteriales; Flavobacteriaceae
Description: Flavo-1 RNA
Rfam family: Flavo-1 RNA
Source: Rfam by way of RNAcentral
UACUAGCCCGGAUGGGAGCGACAUCCUUUUUUUUAUUUUUUGAAGACAAAAAAGAUACAGUGGACAGCCGGAUUAGCU